AACUUUUAACAAUGGAUCUCUUGGCUCUUGCAUCGAUGAAGAACGCAGCGAAAUGCGAUACGUAAUGUGAAUUGCAGAAUUCAGUGAAUCAUCGAAUCUUUGAACGCACCUUGCACCCUUUGGCAUUCCGAGGGGUAUGCUCGUUUGAGUGUCAUUGUACUCUCACACUCCCGAUGCUUUUGGAUUGGGAGUGGUGGACUUGGGUGUUGCUGCUUUACUGUGGCUCACCUCAAAUGGAGUAGUGCAACUCUUGGUUGGACAUAGUACGGCGUGAUAAGUGUCUUCGCCGGCGCCUCAUUAGAGGGUGGCCGAUCGGGAGCUCUGUGCUUUCAAACCGUCUUCGGACACUCUCUGACAACUUGACCUCAAAUCGAGUAGGACUACCCGCUGAACUUAAGCAUAUCAAUAAGCGGAGGCU
Molecule: unclassified non-coding RNA, 418 nt
Filed under: uncultured Sebacinaceae
Lineage: Eukaryota; Fungi; Basidiomycota; Agaricomycetes; Sebacinales; Sebacinaceae
Description: sequence contains ITS2
Rfam family: 5.8S ribosomal RNA (bases 1-154)
Source: RNAcentral